RNAcentral lists this ribosomal RNA (550 nucleotides) under uncultured bacterium. RNAcentral describes it as "bacterial SSU rRNA". It matches the Rfam family "Bacterial small subunit ribosomal RNA", at positions 356 to 896 of the family's 1533-position model. The record is from RNAcentral.
GGGGAAUCUUCCGCAAUGGACGAAAGUCUGACGGAGCAACGCCGCGUGAGUGAUGACGGCCUUCGGGUUGUAAAGCUCUGUUAAUCGGGACGAAGGGCCUUCUUGCGAAUAGUUAGAAGGAUUGACGGUACCGGAAUAGAAAGCCACGGCUAACUACGUGCCAGCAGCCGCGGUAAUACGUAGGUGGCAAGCGUUGUCCGGAAUUAUUGGGCGUAAAGGGCGCGCAGGCGGCUUCUUAAGUCUGUCUUAAAAGUGCGGGGCUUAACCCCGUGAUGGGAUGGAAACUGGGAAGCUCAGAGUAUCGGAGAGGAAAGCGGAAUUCCUAGUGUAGCGGUGAAAUGCGUAGAUAUUAGGAGGAACACCAGUGGCGAAAGCGGCUUUCUGGACGAAAACUGACGCUGAGGCGCGAAAGCCAGGGGAGCGAACGGGAUUAGAUACCCCGGUAGUCCUGGCCGUAAACGAUGGGUACUAGGUGUAGGAGGUAUCGACCCCUUCUGUGCCGGAGUUAACGCAAUAAGUACCCCGCCUGGGGAGUACGGCCGCAAGGCUG